RNAcentral lists this long non-coding RNA (1028 nucleotides) under Heterocephalus glaber (naked mole-rat). RNAcentral describes it as "lncRNA (ENSHGLG00100036643.1)". Lineage: Eukaryota; Metazoa; Chordata; Mammalia; Rodentia; Bathyergidae. The record is from RNAcentral.
CUCACUCCGAGUCAGAGGAGACAACGAUAAACAAAAUAAAUAUGUAAAGUAUUGGUGUAUCGUACAGUGACAAGGGAUGCAGAGAACAAUGAAGUACAAAUGCAAGACCCUGAGCAAUGGCGGUGCAGGCCGGUUUGGAAGAGCAUGGUCAGAGAAGACCUCACCAAGAAGGUGGCACUUGACAAGGACCUGAAAAAGAAGAGGGAUGAGCGUGGAGGCCACGUGGGAGACAAGCAUCCCAGGCACAAACAAGUAGCCUGCAUGCCCAGCCAGGCGGAGACAUCAGAUUGGCCAUCACACGUCCUUCAGAAGACCUGCAGGGGCAGUAGGUGAGGUCAGGACAUUAGAGAGAUUGGAUGACCCCCAGUUUCCAGGCCUCAUGAAGACUUUCUAAGUGAUGUAGGAAGUCCAUGCAUGUUGCCCACAAAGGAGAGACAAACCACUCUGUGCUUAGUGUGGUGAAGGGAGACGUCCUCCCUCAUGUUGGAGAUGGACAAGAGGCCAAGUGCAGAGAACGGGAGGCUGGGAGGGACCAGGAGAGCUCUUUUCACGACGCUCCCAGUGGCCCAUCCGGAGCACACCAGUUGGGAACUUCUGCUGUUCAGCGUCCGGGGACACAAAGUUUACAGGACUACAGGGGAUGAAGGGUUAGAAAGGAUGAUGAUCCAAGGACCCAGUGAGACAAACCGAGAGUGUGAGGUGGUUUACCAGAUGCCUGCUCUGGUGCCUUCCAACAGACACUGCCACAAGAAAGGUGAGGUGUUCCACGUAAACAACAGGAUCGAACUCAGGCCCUUGCACUUGCAAGGCAGGUGUGGCACCACUGAGCUAAAUCCCAGGCCCUUGAAAGUUAUUUAAGAUUUUGAAAAUCCCAAAGAAUCUACUAAAAACUAUUAGAAUUAGAAAAUGAGUUCAGCAAAGUUGAGGGCAUAAGAUCAAUAUAAAAUGAUCAAUUGUGUUUUUUUGUUUGUUUGUUUUGUUUUUUGGUACCGGGGAUCAAACUCGGGACCUUGUGCUUGUGAGGCAGA